UAAUGCCUGGGAAAUUGCCCUGAUGUGGGGGAUAACCAUUGGAAACGAUGGCUAAUACCGCAUGAUAGCUUCGGCUCAAAGAGGGGGACCUUCGGGCCUCUCGCGUCAGGAUAUGCCCAGGUGGGAUUAGCUAGUUGGUGAGGUAAUGGCUCACCAAGGCGACGAUCCCUAGCUGGUCUGAGAGGAUGAUCAGCCACACUGGAACUGAGACACGGUCCAGACUCCUACGGGAGGCAGCAGUGGGGAAUAUUGCACAAUGGGCGCAAGCCUGAUGCAGCCAUGCCGCGUGUGUGAAGAAGGCCUUCGGGUUGUAAAGCACUUUCAGUAGGGAGGAAGGCAGUGUCGUUAAUAGCGGCAUUGUUUGACGUUACCUACAGAAGAAGCACCGGCUAACUCCGUGCCAGCAGCCGCGGUAAUACGGAGGGUGCGAGCGUUAAUCGGAAUUACUGGGCGUAAAGCGCAUGCAGGUGGUUUGUUAAGUCAGAUGUGAAAGCCCGGGGCUCAACCUCGGAAUAGCAUUUGAAACUGGCAAGCUAGAGUACUGUAGAGGGGGGGUAGAAUUUCAGGUGUAGCGGUGAAAUGCGUAGAGAUCUGAAGGAAUACCGGUGGCGAAGGCGGCCCCCUGGACAGAAUACUGACACUCAGAUGCGAAAGCGUGGGGGAGCAAACAGGGAUUAUAUACCCUGGGUAGUCCACGCCGUAAAACGAAUGUCUACUUGGGAGGUUGUGGGCCUU
Molecule: ribosomal RNA, 735 nt
Filed under: Vibrio diazotrophicus
Lineage: Bacteria; Pseudomonadati; Pseudomonadota; Gammaproteobacteria; Vibrionales; Vibrionaceae
Description: bacterial SSU rRNA
Rfam family: Bacterial small subunit ribosomal RNA
Source: RNAcentral